This 636-nucleotide ribosomal RNA is filed under the name Bradyrhizobium sp. RNAcentral's name for it is "bacterial SSU rRNA". It matches the Rfam family "Bacterial small subunit ribosomal RNA", at positions 72 to 752 of the family's 1533-position model. Lineage: Bacteria; Pseudomonadati; Pseudomonadota; Alphaproteobacteria; Hyphomicrobiales; Nitrobacteraceae. The record is from RNAcentral.
GUAGCAAUACGUCAGCGGCAGACGGGUGAGUAACGCGUGGGAACGUACCUUUUGGUUCGGAACAACACAGGGAAACUUGUGCUAAUACCGGAUAAGCCCUUACGGGGAAAGAUUUAUCGCCGAAAGAUCGGCCCGCGUCUGAUUAGCUAGUUGGUGAGGUAACGGCUCACCAAGGCGACGAUCAGUAGCUGGUCUGAGAGGAUGAUCAGCCACAUUGGGACUGAGACACGGCCCAAACUCCUACGGGAGGCAGCAGUGGGGAAUAUUGGACAAUGGGCGCAAGCCUGAUCCAGCCAUGCCGCGUGAGUGAUGAAGGCCCUAGGGUUGUAAAGCUCUUUUGUGCGGGAAGAUAAUGACGGUACCGCAAGAAUAAGCCCCGGCUAACUUCGUGCCAGCAGCCGCGGUAAUACGAAGGGGGCUAGCGUUGCUCGGAAUCACUGGGCGUAAAGGGUGCGUAGGCGGGUCUUUAAGUCAGGGGUGAAAUCCUGGAGCUCAACUCCAGAACUGCCUUUGAUACUGAAGAUCUUGAGUUCGGGAGAGGUGAGUGGAACUGCGAGUGUAGAGGUGAAAUUCGUAGAUAUUCGCAAGAACACCAGUGGCGAAGGCGGCUCACUGGCCCGAUACUGACGCUGAUGC